GGAAACUUCGUCAAACUUGGUCAUUUAGAGGAAGUAAAAGUCGUAACAAGGUUUCCGUGUGAACCUGCGGAAGGAUCAUU
This 80-nucleotide ribosomal RNA is filed under the name Scleroramularia abundans. Its description in RNAcentral is "partial 18S ribosomal RNA". It matches the Rfam family "Eukaryotic small subunit ribosomal RNA", at positions 1749 to 1830 of the family's 1831-position model. The record is from RNAcentral. Lineage: Eukaryota; Fungi; Ascomycota; Dothideomycetes.